AUUGAACGCUGGCGGAAUGCUUUACACAUGCAAGUCGAACGGCAGCACGGACUUCGGUCUGGUGGCGAGUGGCGAACGGGUGAGUAAUGUAUCGGAACGUGCCCAGUCGUGGGGGAUAACGUAGUGAAAAUUACGCUAAUACCGCAUACGAUCUAUGGAUGAAAGCGGGGGAUCGCAAGACCUCGCGCGAUUGGAGCGGCCGAUAUCAGAUUGGGUAGUUGGUGGGGUAAAGGCCCACCAAGCCAACGAUCUGUAGCUGGUCUGAGAGGACGACCAGCAACACUGGAACUGAGACACGGUCCAGACUCCUACGGGAGGCAGCAGUGGGGAAUUUUGGACAAUGGGCGAAAGCCUGAUCCAGCCAUUCCGCGUGCAGGAUGAAGGCCCUCGGGUUGUAAACUGCUUUUGUACAGAACGAAAAGGUUUCUACUAAUACUAGGAGCUCAUGACGGUACUGUAAGAAUAAGCACCGGCUAACUACGUGCCAGCAGCCGCCGUAA
Molecule: ribosomal RNA, 500 nt
Filed under: uncultured bacterium
Lineage: Bacteria
Description: partial 16S ribosomal RNA
Rfam family: Bacterial small subunit ribosomal RNA
Source: RNAcentral